ACAAAUUUUUAAAAAAUAACACAAGUUAUGUACAUUUUUAGUGUUUUUUUCAACAGAUUUCUUUCUACUCUAACUUAAGUGGUAUUUUAACCCUUGUGCUAUCCUAUGACCCCAACCUUACAUUGAUAGUUUCUUAUUAAAGAAAAUGAAUUUAAAAGGGUUUGUGCGCCCUCUGGUGGAGUGACAAAUCAUAGCAAGGAACGAACAUUAAACCAGUGUCCUAAACUGCAUUUUUUUUAUUGGUCUCAUGGGUUCAAGCCCUUACUAUUUCAUAACCAUAAAGAGUGUGACACUCAUUAUUAUUGUUUUUUUUCUAAAGGACGGGGGGAUUUAGUGCAUGAAAUAAACAUAAUGACAGAUGGUUCAGUCAGGUAGCCAUAAAGGCGAGCCAAAAUCCUCCUCCAAGGGAAACGCGGUGAUGCGUUUGAGCACAUGCUCUGUGUUUCAAAAAUGUCCUUUCUGCAGAAGCUCCGAGUAGUUUUAAACCCACUCGUGUCCGCUGCGGGAUUGUUUGAGUGCAUUGAAGUGGAUCUGAAACGCCUUGGCAACGGUCCGCAUCCACGUGCAUCACCCGGCGUUGUUUAUUUUUAGAACGGUAGAAACGGUUAUUUUUCUUUCUUUCUUUUUUUUCGUUUUGUUCAUGGCAGAGAAACCACAAACAGAAGACAUGAACCCACCAGCAAACAGGGAAUUCACGAGGAGGAGAUCUAUGUUCCUGAUGGAGUAUGAGACCCGCUUCCUCUCACCAGGCCUCGAAAAAUAUGCCUCACACAAAAAAGACAAGAAAAGAGACCCAUCAAUGCAAAAGGCUGCGCUGCCACCAGCACCACCUAAACGACACUCUGCACCUCAGGGGGAAAAGGACAACAAGGCCUUCCAUACAACCACUUACACAGAGGAUUUUAAAGCUUGGAAAGCCAAGAAACGUCACCCAUGCAAGCUUGAGGACAACUUAGUAGCUUCCCAUGGACUGGUUCCUGUGAGGGAUUCUUCCAAAGAGAGCAGGAAGUGCCAACAGAAAGACGACCGGCUCCCGAAGGACGACGGACACUCUGAGAGGGUCACCAGCGGCAGGCUGGAUUUUUCCGCCACAGUAGAUGAGGCGCAGAAAAGCUGGAGGAUGGCCUGGACCAGUGGAGGUCAUCUCCCUCCGGCUGACGUCAGGGACUCUCUGAAGGUUUUGAAGCUCUACUCUCAGUUCAAGGAGGCUAAUCCAGCAGCAGAGCACAAGCACCAGUGGCCAAAGGCAGAGCGUGAAGCCAGCGAGGAUAAAGGCAUCGAGUGGACCGGGCUGUCUGUAAAGCCCAGAGAGAGAGGCAAGAUGGCGAUCCAGCCACCGCAAAAGGACGGCUGGGAAUCUGCUAUCCAGACAAACGAGGACGUCUCCAAACCAAACCAAAGCUGCAACAACCAGCCUCCUCAGGACUCGGUCUUGAAUUACUUCAUCAGCCUCCAUGAAGACUAA
RNAcentral lists this long non-coding RNA (1465 nucleotides) under Oryzias sinensis (Chinese medaka). Its description in RNAcentral is "lncRNA (ENSOSIG00000017679.1)". Lineage: Eukaryota; Metazoa; Chordata; Actinopteri; Beloniformes; Adrianichthyidae. The record is from RNAcentral.